UCCCCGCGGGAGAGUCCGGGCUCAUCGCCCGGCGCCGAAGGCGCAACCGCCCCGGAAACGCUCAGGCCAAAGGACCGCGCGGG
This 83-nucleotide non-coding RNA is filed under the name Microvirga massiliensis. RNAcentral's name for it is "Glycine riboswitch". It matches the Rfam family "Glycine riboswitch aptamer", at positions 9 to 86 of the family's 94-position model. From Rfam's summary of the family: This family represents the bacterial glycine riboswitch. Glycine riboswitches usually consist of two metabolite-binding aptamers domains with similar structures in tandem. The record is from RNAcentral. Lineage: Bacteria; Pseudomonadati; Pseudomonadota; Alphaproteobacteria; Hyphomicrobiales; Methylobacteriaceae.